Molecule: ribosomal RNA, 854 nt
Filed under: Rhytismatales sp.
Lineage: Eukaryota; Fungi; Ascomycota; Leotiomycetes; Rhytismatales
Description: partial large subunit ribosomal RNA
Rfam family: Eukaryotic large subunit ribosomal RNA
Source: RNAcentral
AUUGCCUCAGUAACGGCGAGUGAAGCGGCAACAGCUCAAAUUUGAAAUCUGGCUCUUUCAGGGUCCGAGUUGUAAUUUGUAGAAGAUGCUUCGGGUGUGGCUCCGGUCUAAGUUCCUUGGAACAGGACGUCAUAGAGGGUGAGAAUCCCGUAUGUGACUGGUUGCCUUCGCCCAUGUGAAGCUCUUUCGACGAGUCGAGUUGUUUGGGAAUGCAGCUCAAAAUGGGUGGUAAAUUUCAUCUAAAGCUAAAUAUUGGCCAGAGACCGAUAGCGCACAAGUAGAGUGAUCGAAAGAUGAAAAGCACUUUGGAAAGAGAGUUAAACAGUACGUGAAAUUGUUGAAAGGGAAGCGCUUGCAACCAGACUUGCACGCAGUUGAUCAUCCGGUGUUCUCACCGGUGCACUCUGCUGCGUUCAGGCCAGCAUCGGUUUUGGUGGUUGGAUAAAGGCCUUGGGAAUGUGGCUCCUCUCGGGGAGUGUUAUAGCCCUCGGUGCAAUGCAGCCUACUGGGACCGAGGACCGCGCUUCGGCUAGGAUGCUGGCGUAAUGGUUGUAAGCGACCCGUCUUGAAACACGGACCAAGGAGUCUAACAUCUAUGCGAGUGUUUGGGUGUCAAACCCAUACGCGUAAUGAAAGUGAACGGAGGUGAGAACCCUUAAGGGUGCAUCAUCGACCGAUCCUGAUGUCUUCGGAUGGAUUUGAGUAAGAGCAUAGCUGUUGGGACCCGAAAGAUGGUGAACUAUGCGUGAAUAGGGUGAAGCCAGAGGAAACUCUGGUGGAGGCUCGCAGCGGUUCUGACGUGCAAAUCGAUCGUCAAAUUUGCGCAUAGGGGCGAAAGACUAAUCGAACCAUCU